ACUGAGCGCACAAACGCUACCCCUGUUACAAGCAUGAGUGGUUGACUUCAUGCAGACAUGCGCAGACAUUGAAGUACCGCGAGAGUGAUUCAAAAGCCCACGAAACAGUGUAAUCACGCGGUACUGUGAUGUCAUACUGGUUAACGCUAAGCCACGUGAAGCCGGACACAAGGGCUACACUAAUCUUUGGGCUGGAGUAGCCUGUGGUUUUUAAGGCUUCGUGUCUCAUCGCGUUAAACGGUCGCAGAACGAUUUAUUUCUCUUUUUCACCUCGAUCUUUGGCCUCGUGUGAUUUACCAAAACCAACAUGUGAAGUUACAACGCUGACGAAGGAGUUUCAUCAGUAGAGUGUGUCCUGGUAAACGUGUGCUCGGAAACAUGCAGAUUACAGUAUUUACAGAGCCGACCUUGAGUCACCCACUGAUGGAUAAUCUGUUUACCUAAAAACAGCCCACCACAAUCCAUGUUUACCAGCUGUGAAAGUGCAGGCCAAAAAUCUUCCUUCACCUGUGGGCCUCUUCCCACAUGUAGAUAAG
Non-coding RNA from Paramisgurnus dabryanus, 536 nucleotides. NCBI's taxonomy places the organism in Eukaryota, Metazoa, Chordata, Actinopteri, Cypriniformes, Cobitidae. The record is from RefSeq and is a predicted model, not a curated record.